RNAcentral lists this ribosomal RNA (253 nucleotides) under uncultured bacterium. RNAcentral's name for it is "partial 16S ribosomal RNA". It matches the Rfam family "Bacterial small subunit ribosomal RNA", at positions 524 to 776 of the family's 1533-position model. The record is from RNAcentral.
UACAGAGGUCUCAAGCGUUGUUCGGAUUCCUUGGGCGUAAAGGGUUCGUAGGCGGCGCGGUAAGUCGGGUGUGAAAUCUUGGAGCUUAACUCCGAAACUGCAUUCGAUACUGCCGUGCUUGAGGACUGGAGAGGAGACUGGAAUUUACGGUGUAGCGGUGAAAUGCGUAGAUAUCGUAAGGAAGACCAGUGGCGAAGGCGGGUCUCUGGACAGUUCCUGACGCUGAGGCACGAAGGUCAGGGGAGCAAACGGG